This 429-nucleotide non-coding RNA is filed under the name Ictidomys tridecemlineatus (thirteen-lined ground squirrel). RNAcentral describes it as "Spermophilus tridecemlineatus (thirteen-lined ground squirrel) Eukaryotic large subunit ribosomal RNA". It matches the Rfam family "Eukaryotic large subunit ribosomal RNA", at positions 2569 to 2988 of the family's 3401-position model. The record is from Rfam by way of RNAcentral. Lineage: Eukaryota; Metazoa; Chordata; Mammalia; Rodentia; Sciuridae.
AAGAUUCUGCCACACUGGGCUAAGCCUUCUUGAGCUAGUGUCACAUGGCCUAGGUGACAGGAAUGGUACGUGUCAAACAUUAACAGAAGAAUCCUGAAGCUGCUCAGAGAGGGCAGAAUCAUCAUGGAGACAGAAGGGAUAACAUAGGCCUGAUCUUGAGUCUUAAGUACAGAAACAGUCUGUGAAGGUGAUCUCUUGAUCCUUCUGACUCUCGGGGUAUUAAGUAGGAGGUGUCAGAAAGUCACUGCAGAGAUAACUGAAAUGUGGUGGCAAAGUGUUCACGGUAAUAACACUUUCUAGUUAUUUUGUGUUAGCUUUUCAUUAUGAAACUUGGGACCUUCAUUGUGAAGUAGACUUCAACACGUAUUGAAAAGUUCAUCCACUGAUUAGAACGUCAGCUGGAUCAGUCCUUUAUGAAAGAGGACAGUU